GUACACACCGCCCGUCACACCAUGGGAGUUGGCUUURCCCGAAGMYGGUGCGCUAACCCGYAAGGGAGGCAGCCRGCCACGGUARGGUCAGCGACUGGGGUGAAGUCGUAACAAGGUAGCCGUAGGUGAACCUGCAGAAGGAUCA
RNAcentral lists this ribosomal RNA (145 nucleotides) under uncultured eukaryote. RNAcentral describes it as "partial small subunit ribosomal RNA". The record is from RNAcentral.